This 1547-nucleotide ribosomal RNA is filed under the name Armatimonadota bacterium. RNAcentral describes it as "bacterial SSU rRNA". It matches the Rfam family "Bacterial small subunit ribosomal RNA". Lineage: Bacteria; Bacillati; Armatimonadota. The record is from RNAcentral.
AAUGGAGAGUUUGAUCCUGGCUCAGGACGAACGCUUGCGGCGUGCCUAAGAAAUGCAAGUCGAGCGAGGGUUCACGCUGUCCAAAGCUUCGGCAGCGGACUUGUGGACCCUAGCGGCGAACGGUCGCGUAACACGUAAGCAACCUGCCCUGAAGUGGGGGAUAGCCCGCCGAAAGGCGGAGUAAUACCGCAUGUGGAUGCGAUUCCGCAUGGAUUCGCAUCUAAAGCAGCGAUGCGCUUCAGGAUGGGCUUGCGGCCUAUCAGCUUGUUGGUAGGGUAACGGCCUACCAAGGCUACGACGGGUAGCUGGUCUGAGAGGAUGGUCAGCCGGAUUGGGACUGAGACACGGCCCAGACUCCUACGGGGGGCAGCAAUUAGGAAUCUUGCGCAAUGGGGGAAACCCUGACGCAGCGACGCCGCGUGAGCGAUGAAGUCCUUCGGGAUGUAAAGCUCUGUCCUGUGGGGAAGAAGGAAGUGACGGUACCCACAGAGAAAGCCCCGGCUAACUACGUGCCAGCAGCCGCGGUAAUACGUAGGGGGCGAGCGUUGUCCGAAUUUACUGGGCGUAAAGCGCGUGUAGGCGGCUCUUUAAGUCAGAUGUGAAAUCCUGCAGCUCAACUGCAGAACUGCAUCUGAAACUGAAGGGCUGGAGUCUGGGAGAGGAGAGUGGAAUUCCUGGUGUAGCGGUGGAAUGCGUAGAUAUCAGGAGGAACACCCGUGGCGAAGGCGGCUCUCUGGCCCAGUACUGACGCUGAGACGCGAAAGCUAGGGGAGCGAACGGGAUUAGAUACCCCGGUAGUCCUAGCCGUAAACGAUGGAUACUAGGUGUUAGUGGUAUCGACCCCACUAGUGCCGUAGCUAACGCAUUAAGUAUCCCGCCUGGGGAGUACGGCCGCAAGGUUGAAACUCAAAGGAAUUGACGGGGCCCCGCACAAGCGGUGGAGCAUGUGGUUUAAUUCGUCACUAACCGAAGAACCUUACCAGGGCUUGACAUCCGCUGAAAGUCCACGAAAGUGGUACCCUCCCUAGCAAUAGGGACAGCGAGACAGGUGUUGCAUGGCUGUCGUCAGCUCGUGUCGUGAGAUGUUGGGUUAAGUCCCGCAACGAGCGCAACCCUCAUCGGAUGUUGCCAGCGUAAAGUCGGGAACUCUUCCGAAACUGCCCGUGUAAGCGGGAGGAAGGUGGGGAUGACGUCAAGUCGGCAUGGCCCUUACGCCCUGGGCUACACACAUGCUACAAUGGCCGUUAACAAAGGGACGCAAUACCGCGAGGUGGAGCUAAUCCCAAAAAUACGGCCUCAGUUGGGAUCGAAGUCUGCAACUCGACUUCGUGAACGCGGAAUCGCUAGUAACCGCAGGUCAGCUAAACUGCGGUGAAUACGUUCCCGGGGCUUGUACACACCGCCCGUCAAGUCACCUGAGUCUGCUGCACCCGAAGUCAGUGGCCCAACCCGCAAGGGAGGGAGCUGCCGAAGGUGUGGCCGGUGAGGGGGACUAAGUCGUAACAAGGUAGCCGUAUCGGAAGGUGCGGCUGGAUCACCUCCUUUCU